Molecule: long non-coding RNA, 1252 nt
Filed under: Cyanistes caeruleus (blue tit)
Lineage: Eukaryota; Metazoa; Chordata; Aves; Passeriformes; Paridae
Description: lncRNA (ENSCCEG00000005457.1)
Source: RNAcentral
UGAAGGAGCCAGCUUCAACAGGAGGGGCAAAGCAUUUGUGCCUACAGUGACAACCUGGACACCAGAGAAGUUUUGUGGGAAAGUAGAAAUGGGCUCCCUCAUCCUUAUGGUUGAUGGAUGAGUGCUGGGACCGAGUCCACUGCUUUGCCCUCCUCACCUGAACUGGCUCUCAAGUGUUGUCAGCUUCCCCAUGUGCUUGGAGCCGUGUCUGCACAGGAUGAAGGGAAGGCCAUGAGCUCUGCCAGCUCUGAGGGAUUUUGUGUCACCAUCAUGAAAUACAGCACCUGGACAGAUGGGCUGUUCAUACACCUCCCAAGUCCUUCUUGUCUGGCUGCUGAAGGGAUUUCUCUCAACGUGUCAGUCAUGGCUCACAGCAAAGUGGUGAGACUUGCAAACUACAGACUUGUUUUGGCAUAAAAUGAAGAGGAAUUUUUUUUUUUUAAAGGAAAAAAGCUGAAGAAGGAAAUGACCCACUGGGUGUGACAGGAUCCAUGUAUUUCUCUCUAAAGUACCCAUGGAGAUUUCACAGGAGCAGACCAAGGUGAUGAGGUUGCCAAUCCAGCAAAUUAUUACUGAGAUGUCUUCCAAACAUGAGUGAGUUUCAUAGAGUUCACAGUGGUACUGGAGAUGAUGAUGAAUCCAUGAAGGUUUAACCUGAGUCCAGUGUCCCAUGCACUCCUGCAUUCUCCAUUAAUGACCUUUCCACUCAAAAGGGUUGAUAUUUUUUUAAAUAUUUUUAACCAAUGUAAAGAUACAUCAAUAGAGAGUAACCUUUUCUUCAUUUCCCCCCUCAGCACAUUCAAUGAAAAAGUAUCAACAUAUUGAGCCUAACAGGGAGUUCUCUUUGAGAGGAAAAGGUUAUGACAUCCCAAGGAAUUCUCGGAAAAUGUGAAACACUUGACAAUACAAAUCAACAAUCUGAUUUAUAGGGUGUGCAUUAUGAGCCAUAUCUGGAUGUAAGAUGUCAUUGCGGAUGUCAGUGAAAGAGGAGAAGAAAGAACAGAGGAGAAUGUGAAGAGGGAAAGCUGCAGAACUAAAUCCAAGCCUUUUGUAAGUGGACAUUAAAAGUUAAAGCACUGAUUUCACAAAAACGAUAGCAUUCUGCUGAGAGGGACAAAAUGGAUAUGAGAUUUUGACAGACUGGUUUUGUGCAACCUGGGAUGCAGUCACUUGUGAAAUGUCUUCAACAGUGACUCAGAGGAGCUGGUACCACAGGACCUGCUGAAUAAAUACUCUGCCUGUGUUUCUCCCA